AUACGGAGGGUCCAAGCGUUAUCCGGAUUCAUUGGGUUUAAAGGGUCCGCAGGCGGGAAAAUAAGUCAGUGGUGAAAGCCUACAGCUCAACUGUAGAACUGCCAUUGAUACUGUUUUUCUUGAGUAUAGAUAAAGUGGGCGGAAUAUAUCAUGUAGCGGUGAAAUGCAUAGAUAUGAUAUAGAACACCGAUUGCGAAGGCAGCUCACUAAACUAUUACUGACGCUCAGGGACGAAAGCGUGGGGAGCGAACAGGAUUAGAUACCCUAGUAGUCC
This 274-nucleotide ribosomal RNA is filed under the name uncultured bacterium. Its description in RNAcentral is "partial 16S ribosomal RNA". It matches the Rfam family "Bacterial small subunit ribosomal RNA", at positions 523 to 796 of the family's 1533-position model. The record is from RNAcentral.